This is a long non-coding RNA of Mytilus californianus (California mussel), 318 nucleotides long. RefSeq lists it as uncharacterized. NCBI's taxonomy places the organism in Eukaryota, Metazoa, Mollusca, Bivalvia, Mytilida, Mytilidae. The record is from RefSeq and is a predicted model, not a curated record. The transcript is spliced from 3 exons.
AGGACAAGCCUUUUAAUGUUGCUGUUUCUUGCUGUCCUUUUACUAGCGUUUAUUAACGGAGUUGAAGGACAUUGUAAAGACCGAGUAAAAGGUUGCUAUGAAAGGGUCAGUAGAGGCGAUUGUUACACAAACAGUCAUAUCAUGUGGAAAUAUUGCUGCAAAAGUUGUAAAAACAUGGCACAAAUCGGUAUAAAGCGAGGUUUUCAUGCUGCUAAGGAAAUAGAUAAAGGCGGAUAUCAAACAGCAUAUUAAUUUAACAUUAAAAAUCUAUAACUCUUACAUUUGCGAACUUAUUCAAAUAGCACACAUCAAAGGCAU